GCUCACUUGGUGGAAUUGGUAAACACGGUAGACUCAAAAUCUGCUCCUUAUUAGGUUACUGGUUCAAGUCCAGUAGUGAGCA
RNAcentral lists this transfer RNA (82 nucleotides) under Pharyngomonas kirbyi. Its description in RNAcentral is "tRNA-Leu". It matches the Rfam family "tRNA". Rfam says of the family: Transfer RNA (tRNA) molecules are approximately 80 nucleotides in length. Their secondary structure includes four short double-helical elements and three loops (D, anti-codon, and T loops). Lineage: Eukaryota; Heterolobosea; Pharyngomonadea; Pharyngomonadida; Pharyngomonadidae. The record is from RNAcentral.